Mercenaria mercenaria is the source of this 602-nucleotide long non-coding RNA. RefSeq lists it as uncharacterized. The record is from RefSeq and is a predicted model, not a curated record. The transcript has 4 exons. Lineage: Eukaryota; Metazoa; Mollusca; Bivalvia; Venerida; Veneridae.
UUCUUGCUACGAAACAGAUGAAGUGUCCAACUGGGCUGAGGCCACGCAGAAAUGUGCGCUGGCCACCCCGGAUGUAACGUUAGGUUCUGAGGGUUACCGGGCAGAUAUUCAAGAUGAAGACUGGCACGGACAAGUGUGGACUGGUUAUUAUAUGACCAUUCAAGGAUUUGAAUGUAUUGUGCUUUUGCUUAAACAAUGAGUCAUUCAACAAUAAUACACUACCGUACUGUGACAAGAUGUGUGAUGCUCAGAAGGGUAUUGUUUGCGGCGGACAUCAACAUAUGUCUUUAUAUAAAGUAAGCAAUGUAACCGGUGUUAAAAGUAAUGAUCAUAUUGAAAGAAGCUGUCUUGGUCUUGAAUUCCAGCAUGUUUCUAAAAUAUUUAGAUGGAAGCAGUGUAGUAGUUACUUGCGCCCACUCUGUACAUGUGUUGAUUCGAAGACACACACUGGUGACAGACAUUAUCCAUGGAACACUGCGUCAAAUGAAUGUUUCAAGCAACAAACAAUACCUACAUCAUUACAAAGUGCUUUGGAAAAUUAAGACUAUACUGACUGGAAUAUACUGGACAGGGACAAUAAGAAGUCAGACUAUUCAUAAAUA